This 507-nucleotide ribosomal RNA is filed under the name uncultured bacterium. Its description in RNAcentral is "partial 16S ribosomal RNA". It matches the Rfam family "Bacterial small subunit ribosomal RNA", at positions 28 to 507 of the family's 1533-position model. The record is from RNAcentral.
GACGAACGCUGGCGGCGUGCCUAAUACAUGCAAGUCGAACGCAUUUUCUUUCACCGUAGCUUGCUACACCGAAAGAAAAUGAGUGGCGAACGGGUGAGUAACACGUGGGUAACCUGCCCAUCAGCGGGGGAUAACACUUGGAAACAGGUGCUAAUACCGCAUAAUUCCAUUUACCGCAUGGUAAAUGGAUGAAAGGCGCUUUUGCGUCACUGAUGGAUGGACCCGCGGUGCAUUAGCUAGUUGGUGGGGUAACGGCCUACCAAGGCUGCGAUGCAUAGCCGAACUGAGAGGGUGAUCGGCCACACUGGGACUGAGACACGGCCCAGACUCCUACGGGAGGCAGCAGUAGGGAAUCUUCGGCAAUGGACGCAAGUCUGAACGAGCAACGCCGCGUGAGUGAAGAAGGUUUUCGGAUCGUAAAACUCUGUUGUUAGAGAAGAACAAGGAUGAGAGUGGAAAGUUCAUCCCUUGACGGUAUCUAACCAGAAAGCCACGGCUAACUACGUG